UAUGGGGGGGCUGACCAGCCAUGCAAGUCGAGCGAUGAAACCCCUUCGGGGGUGGAUUAGCGGCGGACGGGUGAGUAACACGUGGGUAACCUGCCUCAAAGUGGGGGAUAGCCUUCCGAAAGGAAGAUUAAUACCGCAUAAAGCCAAGUUUCACAUGGAAUUUGGAUGAAAGGAGUAAUUCGCUUUGAGAUGGACCCGCGGCGCAUUAGUUAGUUGGUGGGGUAAUGGCCUACCAAGACAGCGAUGCGUAGCCGACCUGAGAGGGUGAUCGGCCACAUUGGAACUGAGAUACGGUCCAGACUCCUACGGGAGGCAGCAGUGGGGAAUAUUGCACAAUGGGCGAAAGCCUGAUGCAGCAACGCCGCGUGAGUGAUGAAGGUCUUCGGAUUGUAAAGCUCUGUCUUUUGGGACGAUAAUGACGGUACCAAAGGAGGAAGCCACGGCUAACUACGUGCCAGCAGCCGCGGUAAUACGUAGGUGGCGAGCGUUGUCCGGAUUUACUGGGCGUAAAGGGUGCGUAGGCGGAUGUUUAAGUGAGAUGUGAAAUACCCGGGCUUAACUUGGGUGCUGCAUUUCAAACUGGAUAUCUAGAGUGCAGGAGAGGAGAAUGGAAUUCCUAGUGUAGCGGUGAAAUGCGUAGAGAUUAGGAAGAACACCAGUGGCGAAGGCGAUUCUCUGGACUGUAACUGACGCUGAGGCACGAAAGCGUGGGUAGCAAACAGGAUUAGAUACCCUGGUAGUCCACGCCGUAAACGAUGAGUACUAGGUGUAGGAGGUAUCGACCCCUUCUGUGCCGCAGUAAACACAUUAAGUACUCCGCCUGGGAAGUACGAUCGCAAGAUUAAAACUCAAAGGAAUUGACGGGGGCCCGCACAAGCAGCGGAGCAUGUGGUUUAAUUCGAAGCAACGCGAAGAACCUUACCUGGACUUGACAUCCCCUGAAUAACCUAGAGAUAGGCGAAGCCCUUCGGGGCAGGGAGACAGGUGGUGCAUGGUUGU
Molecule: ribosomal RNA, 999 nt
Filed under: Clostridium tyrobutyricum
Lineage: Bacteria; Bacillati; Bacillota; Clostridia; Eubacteriales; Clostridiaceae
Description: bacterial SSU rRNA
Rfam family: Bacterial small subunit ribosomal RNA
Source: RNAcentral